Molecule: RNA transcript, 3212 nt
Organism: Vitis riparia (riverbank grape)
Lineage: Eukaryota; Viridiplantae; Streptophyta; Magnoliopsida; Vitales; Vitaceae
Gene name: disease resistance protein SUMM2-like
Exons: 3
Source: RefSeq, a predicted model, not a curated record
AAGAGAGGUGAUAUUUCAUUACGACUUUUCUCCUUACUUAUCUUCUACUUUUCUUGGCUUUGAAUCCCAAUCCUUGUUUUCUCCAUGGAUUGUGUGAGACCCAUCCUGGAUGUCGCCAAUCGCUUAUGGGAUAGCGCUGCUAAGCGUCCUGUUUACAUCCGUCAUCUCCCACAAAAUCUCAACUCUUUGAGAACUGAAAUGGAGGAACUCAAGAACCUGUACGAAGAUGUGAAGGAAAGGGUGGAACGUGAAGAGGAACGUCAGAAGAAGCGUCUUCGUGUAGUUGAUGACUGGCUUCGCGGAGUAGAAGCCAUGGAAAAAGAAGUGGAGGAAAUAUUGGCGAAAGGAGAUGAAGAAAUCCAGAAGAAAUGUCUCGGAACCUGUUGUCCUAAAAACUGUGGCGCUAGCUACAAUCUUGGCAAGAUGGUACUUGAAAAGAUGGGUGCUGUGACGGUCAAGAAGACGGAGGGCUCAAAUUUCAGUGUAGUUGCUGAACCUUUGCCUAGUCCUCCCGUGAUGGAGAGGCAGCUUGAAAAGACUGUGGGCCAAGAUUUGUUGUUUGGGAAGGUCUGGAAAUGGCUCCAAGAUGGUGGAGAGCAGGUAAGCAGUAUCGGAUUAUAUGGAAUGGGGGGUGUGGGCAAAACCACCCUCUUGACCAGGAUCAACAAUGAGCUCCUCAAAACCAGGCUUGAAUUUGAUGCAGUGAUUUGGGUGACUGUGUCCAGACCAGCCAAUGUGGAAAAGGUUCAGCGAGUUCUUUUCAAUAAAGUGGAGAUUCCCCAAGAUAAAUGGGAAGGUAGGAGUGAGGAUGAAAGGGCAGAAGAAAUAUUCAAUGUCCUGAAGAAAAAGAAAUUUGUGCUCUUGUUAGAUGACAUAUGGGAGCGGCUGGAUCUAUCCAAAGUUGGUAUUCCUCCUCUGAAUCCUCAAGAUAAGUUGAAGAUGGUACUUACAACGCGAUCUAAAGAUGUGUGCCAAGAUAUGGAAGUUACAGAGAGCAUUGAAGUGAAUUGUCUCCCAUGGGAGGAUGCUUUUGCUCUGUUUCAGACCAAGGUGGGAGCAGACACCAUAAAUUCUCAUCCAGAUAUACCAAAGCUGGCGGAGAUGGUUGCCAAAGAGUGUUGCGGCUUACCACUUGCCCUCAUCACCAUAGGGCGAGCAAUGGCGGGAACAAAAACACCCGAAGAAUGGGAGAAAAAAAUACAAAUGUUGAAGAAUUAUCCAGCAAAGUUUCCAGGUAUGGAGAAUUGUCUGUUUUCACGCUUGGCAUUCAGUUAUGAUAGCCUACCCGAUGAAACCAUCAAAUCGUGUUUCCUAUAUUGCUCUUUAUUUCCGGAGGAUUAUGAAAUCUCUCAUCGAAAUAUUAUACAACUUUGGAUUGGGGAGGGUUUUCUGGAUGAAUAUGACAACAUACAAAAAGCAAGAAAUCAAGGAGAAGAAGUUAUUAAAAGUUUACAGCUUGCAUGUCUAUUGGAGAAUGGCAUAUCUCCAUUAGAUGAAAAAGACGAAUAUUUGAAGAUGCAUGAUGUUAUUCGUGAUAUGGCAUUGUGGUUGGCUCGCGAAAAUGGGAAGAAGAAGAACAAAUUUGUGGUAAAAGAUGGAGUUGAAUCGAUUAGAGCUCAGGAAGUUGAAAAAUGGAAAGAGACACAGAGGAUAUCAUUAUGGAAUACCGAGAUUGAAGAACAUAGAAAACCACCAUAUUUCCCUAAUAUUGAGACCUUUUUGGCAUCAAGUGUGUUUAUUGAGUCAUUUUCAAAUAGAUUCUUUACAAACAUGCCUAUUAUAAGAGUUUUGGACUUGUCAAACAAUUUUAAACUUAUGAAGUUACCUGUGGAGAUUAGAAACUUAGUUACCUUGCAAUAUCUUAAUUUGUCAUGUACAAGUAUUGAAUACUUACCUGUGGAGCUCAAGAACUUGAAAAAUUUAAGGUGCUUGAUAUUGAAUGAUAUGUAUUUUCUUGAGUCACUUCCAUCUCAAAUGGUAUCGAGUCUUUCCUCUUUGCAAUUGUUCAGUAUGUAUAGCACGGAAGGGUCAGCCUUUAAGGGAUAUGAUGAAAGAAGGUUAUUAGAAGAGUUAGAGCAGUUGGAACACAUUGAUGAUAUAUCCAUCGACCUUACAAGUGUAUCAUCCAUCCAAACAUUAUUUAACUCCCACAAGUUGCAAAGAUCCACAAGAUGGCUACAAUUAGUUUGUGAGCGUAUGAACCUAGUCCAACUAUCCCUUUAUAUAGAGACCCUCCAUAUUAAAAAUUGUUUUGAAUUGCAAGAUGUGAAAAUCAAUUUUGAAAAGGAAGUGGUGGUCUACUCAAAAUUCCCAAGGCACCAAUGCUUGAACAACCUUUGUGAUGUCAAAAUAUUUCGAUGUCAUAAAUUGUUGAAUUUGACAUGGCUUAUUUGUGCUCCAAGCCUUCAAUUUCUAAGUGUUGAAUUCUGUGAAUCAAUGGAAAAAGUGAUAGAUGAUGAAAGGAGUGAAGUUUUAGAAAUUGAAGUAGAUCAUUUGGGUGUAUUCUCGAGACUCAUAUCUCUCACUUUAACAUGGCUACCAAAGCUAAGAAGUAUAUAUGGACGUGCCUUACCUUUUCCAUCUUUAAGAUACAUCCGUGUGCUUCAAUGUCCAAGUUUGAGGAAGCUGCCAUUUGAUUCCAACACUGGAAUAAGCAAGAAAUUAGAGCAAAUCCGUGGACAAAAAGAAUGGUGGGAUGGUUUGGAUUGGGAGGAUCAAGCGAUUAUGCACAACCUCACUCCAUAUUUUCAACCCACACAAAUUCAAGACGAGAUUUGAGCUCCUAUGGCAUUCGUCUUAUUACGGUUUCUCACUCUACAUACUUCAUUAGAUUGUUUGGGACUUGGGAGUCCUGAAGCCAUGAGAUUAUGCACAACCACUAGGAAACUAUCCCUUAAUCUCCACGAAAUUCAACAACCAAAAUGCAAAAGCUCAAAGGAAGACACAACAAUCUUCUCCAAUCCCCACAUGCCUCGAUUAGUGCAUCGCUGGAUCAUGACCAGCCAUUUUCUUCUUUUCCACUGCACAUGAGCUUCCAUGUCUACAAACUUGCACUCCAAGCUCUGAUUAUCUUGUCAAAGCUUUUUUUUUUUUUUUACUUUCAUUAGUCUCUUGUCAGCCUGUGCUAUAAACUUGAAGAUGAUGAUAAAUAUGGAUUCAACGUUUUUGUAUUGAAAGAAAGCUCGAAUUGGUAGUUUUUCACUUUUUCGAUC